This 1653-nucleotide long non-coding RNA is filed under the name Lingula anatina. RNAcentral's name for it is "uncharacterized LOC106160823". The record is from RNAcentral. Lineage: Eukaryota; Metazoa; Brachiopoda; Lingulata; Lingulida; Lingulidae.
UGCGGGCGACGUUUGGAGGAUAGUCCAAGAAGCGGGAUGGGUACCUUUUAGUCUGCAACUGAUCAAGGCAUAUAUGGAAAUUGCCAAAGACGGCUGGUGGGUAGCUGAAGUUGACGGGAAAGUUGUAGGCUGCGUGAUGCUAUAUGGUUUCAAUGAAACGUACACAUUCCUUGGUAUACUGAUUGUGGAAGCUGAAUAUAGAGGAAAGGGUAUUGGGAAAGCACUCAAAAAAGGAAGUGGACUCCUUUGCUGGUGACAGGACAAUCUCUUUAGUUGGAGGUGAAGCUGGGAUGCCUGUCUAUUUCAAAUGGGGCUUCAAAAGAUCCAUACGUGGUUCUUUGGUUAAAUAUCGGUUUACUACAAUAAAAAUCCCACUGUCACACGAUGCUGAGUCCAAAUAUGAAAUAAAAGAUUAUUCAGAGGUUGAUUGGAAAGCUAUUUUGGACUACGACACCUCUUUCCAUGUCAUUCCCAGGGAACGUGUUCUCCAAAUAUGGUUUGGAAUCGAAGAUUCCAAGACCAAAGUAUUGCUGCAGGAUGGGAAAAUUGCUGGGUACGGCACCAUAAUGCCUGCAAAUGAUGGGUUCGCUGUCAGUCCUCUGUACGGAGAGACUCCUGAAGCCUGUUUGGUCCUGUUUAAGAGGCUUGUUGCCCCUCUACCGCCUAGCUCGCCCGUGUAUCUCACAAUCCCGGAUUCUAGCCAAGCUGGACAACUAUUACUUGGGGCCAACGCUGACACGGCAAUUCAGAUUACAACCGGCGUUGAAAUGGAAAAUAAUACUACUCCUCCUUUUCCGAAAUGGUGCAAUGCACUGUCGUUAAUGUCUGCGUCUUUGUGCUUUUUGUAAAGGCGAAAAUGCGCAUUUCGACUUAGGCUGCAUUAACAACAGUGGACUAACAAGUCCGAGUGUCAAAUAUGGCCGACCCACUUGAAUACUUCCCCACGGGAUAUCUAUUAAGUCUUUAGUUAACGACCAACGCAAUAUUUGUGUUUUUUGUUCUUCCUCUACUCAAUUUUUCUGAAAUAAAUGCCGUUAAUUUAUGUAUAGAUAAUACACGUAUUGGAGUUCAGUUUAUGUUCCAAAUAAAAAUAAUUAUCGAUUUACGAGCAAUACAGUGCCCCUAUAUGUAAUAUGUUAUAAUAUGAUGUUGGGAAUGCGUUUGAAUGAUUAAUGCAGUAAAGGCGGACAUGAAAGGGCGACAUAUCGGAAGCGCAACCAAAAUCCUUAAAUCCCUGUAGAAUUUGUGUCUAUUAGUAUAAUCAUUUAUGAACGAAAGCGCUCUCUGGAAUUGGCGUGUAGUGUGGCAAGUAUGCAACUUUGAAACCGUAACUUACUUUCUUGAUAGGCCUAUCUGUCAGUUUAAUAAGGAAUUCUAUUUCCAAGUUGUCUUGCCGACAUGACGCAAUUCUGGUGACCAAAUCUGACUAGACGACUUUUGGUUCUUGCGUUUGCAAACCUUGGUCGCUUAUUAUGAGGUCCGUCCCAAAGCUGGUUCAUUUGAUGCCAUUUUGCUACCAGUUUUAGGGGCGGAUCCGGGAUUGUUUGAAGGGGGGUCCGCGGAUGCGAAUACGCCCCCCUCCUUUGCGAGGGGUUCGGGGUUCGUUGAAGGGCACAGAAAACUUUUGGCAUUUUAGAGUGCAAAUGGUGCCAU